UUGGCUAGUUAUGAAGAUUAACAUGAUAUUAGAGCCCAAGGUCUUGAGUUCAAGUCCUGGCUUUCAUAAUUUAUUCAAAAAUUGCUGCUGCUUGUCUUUGUGAUUACGUAUAUCUUAAGCCAUACCUUCGAGUCGAUUCACGUGUUCACUUACUGCGUUACACGUGAGAGGGGGUGUUGAAGUGUAUAUGUGGAUUGUCUAGCCUUUUUCAUCAGUUUGUACUUUUGGUUGCUUUGUGUAGUGCAUGAAGCUUAAUAGCACGAUACUAUCAUAGUGCACAUUGACCGAAGAGUGUCGAUUUAUUUCUUUGUGCUUGUUGUCUACUAUAUAUUUUAUGUUGGUUUUUAUCAUGAUUGGGAAGUCUCAUGUUAUUGAUGCCUUGUUGUUUUUCCAGGAAAAAAAAGGAAUGCAAUAUUCAAUUACUUUACUGUGUUUUGGAGAUAUAAUUUAAGUUAUUUGAGGAUUGGAGAUAUAAUCUAAGUAACCUGAGGAGGAAGAUUACAGUUUACAGGAACAAUGACAUGAUGUAUCAGGCAAGUUUUUUUGUGAGAGAGUUCCCAAAUGUUUGAUAAGCUUGUAAUGCUCCAUGGUUUUUAUUAUCUAAUGAAGUUAGAUUUGUGUAGACUUGCGUGGUUAUGCCAUCAUUACUUGGUUAUUCGUACAUAAAAUAUGUAUGAGUGAGGUGUUUUCAAAAUUUAAUAAAAUUUAUUAUAAUGUUUUUUAAAUGAUUCAUUAUUUUUAAAAGAAUACAGUUUACGAGAAUAUUAACAUGAUGUAUCAGACAAUUUUUUUAUGAGAGUUCCCAAAUGUUUGAUAAGCUUGUGAUGCUCCAUGUUUAUUAUUAUCUAAUGAAGUUAGAUCUGUAUGGACAUGUGUGGUUAGGCCAUCAUUGCUUGGUUAUCCGUACAUGAAAUAUCUAUGAGUGAGAUGUUUCCAAAAUUUAAUACAAUUUUACUGUAAUGUUUUUUAAAUAAUUCAUUAUUUUUAAAGACAACUGUAGUGAAUGAAAUGAAUAUAAUGACUAUUUAUUUUACUUAUGUUAAAUAUUAAUAACAGUUGAAUUUUAUACUGUUUAUUUAGUUCAAUAAUGAUAGGUUUUUUAAACAUUUAUAAAUUUGAAAUAUUUAUUCACUAUGGUAGUAAACUAUUUUGUUCAUUUUGCGUUGUACGACUAGAUGAAAUUCAUGCUUAAGAAAUAUAUAUAGGAAGCCAUAUAAUACUAUCAUAGGGUGCACUAGCCAAAAAGUGUGAUUUUAUCUGUUUUAUGGUUAUUUUGUUUUCUUAAUCAUGAUUAUGGUAUGUCUAUAUAAUGAUGCCUUUUGUUUCUCCAGGAAACACAAUGAAUGUUCACUUAUUCAACUACUUUACAGUGUUUGCGAGACAUAACUUAAGUUAUGUGAGGAGGAAUGACCUUAUUGUUUUGUUAAUUAUAUUUAUAUUAUGUAUGAGUGGGGUGUUUUUUUUUGUUACUAAAAUCAGGAUAUAGUUAAUUUUAAAAAAUGAGUUGUUAUUAUUAAAAAUGUUUUCAGUGAGUGUCUAUUGGCAAGAUGACUGUAGUCAAUGGAAUGAAUAUGACGACUCUUUGUUCUAAUUGUGAUAGAUUUAUAAAUGAUAGUUUAACUCUAUUAGAUUCUCUAUUUAGUCCAAUGAUGUCAGUUUUAGACAUUCCUAAAUUUGCAUGUUUAUUUUGUCAUAAUUUUUGUACUGCACUAUUGGGUUCAUUUUUGCGUUAUAGCACCAAUGAAAUGCAUGUUAACUAUUAGGUGCACUUAAUCAUUUGAUGUGCCUUGUUCUAUAGGAUAUUUAUUUUGCAAUAUUCAAUUACUUAGUUAGUGUUGAAAGGCAUAGCAUAAGUUAUGUGAGGAGGAAGAGUAGAGUACAACAUGUAAGGGAGCAGUGACAUUAUCAGAUUUUUUUUUCCUGUUGAGAGUCACCAAGACAUCUGAUAAGGCCUGUGGUGCUCUAUGGUUGACAUUAUCAGUAGCAGCCUAACAAUCUGGAUGGUAACACUGGUUUGGUGUGGGGAUUGCGCAACAAAUGAUAUCAAAUCCAGGUACUAGUAUUUGUAUUGUUAAUUUGAAGGUCAAUAAUGUGCUUUUUUGUUGUUGGACAAUAAGCAUUUUUAUUCAUACAUAAAACUAAAUUGUGGGCUUGUCUUAGUUGCCAAUGGAUGUUUAUGUUUCAGGAAUAAUUCAAUUAAGUGUAGGAGAUGAGAACGCGGAGGACCAGCUUCAUCAACUAUUGAAGCUGCUGCUGGUUUAAGGACUGAGAUGCUUAUGUCCACUGAAUUAAUCCUUGUAUUCAGUGAAGAAGAGGGGACGUCGUAGGACUGCUGCUGCUGGUUUAUUGACAUUAGGUAGCUGCUGCGACGCACCGCCAGAGUUGUUGUGUGUGCAUGUGUGCUUGUGUUGAGCCAGUUAUAAAAUAUAGUUGGGGAUCACAGAUCAUAUGAAAUGGAUUUUUACUGAAGGUAUUGGAAUUUAUGAAUUCAUAUGGAUUGAAUGCCAUUUUCUUAGAAUUGAAUUGAUUGAAAUAGGUGAUCAUUUAUUAUGCCACAACGUUGGAUCCUUGUCAGCAAAGUAUAUCAUUCCAGUCGUCUGCCAUUGAGAUUCACACCUUGUCUCAUGCAGUAGAC
Molecule: long non-coding RNA, 2635 nt
Filed under: Triticum aestivum (bread wheat)
Lineage: Eukaryota; Viridiplantae; Streptophyta; Magnoliopsida; Poales; Poaceae
Description: long non-coding RNA (TAES_LNC026587)
Source: RNAcentral